Molecule: unclassified non-coding RNA, 369 nt
Filed under: Hevea brasiliensis (rubber tree)
Lineage: Eukaryota; Viridiplantae; Streptophyta; Magnoliopsida; Malpighiales; Euphorbiaceae
Source: RNAcentral
AGAGCUGGUAACGCCGGUGACAGUGAGAUAUUGGCUGCAAUGGAUGCUGCAGUUGAGGAUGGUGUUGAUGUACUUUCUCUUUCUCUUGGAAUUGGUUCUCAUCCUUUUUAUGAUGAUGUGAUUGCACUAGGUGCAUAUGCAGCUAUUCAAAAGGGGAUCUUUGUGAGUUGCUCAGCAGGAAAUUCUGGACCAGAUAAUAGCUCUUUAUCAAAUGAGGCGCCAUGGAUUUUAACUGUAGGGGCAAGCACUAUAGACAGAGCAAUAAGAGCAACAGUAUUACUUGGAAAUAACACAGAGCUGAACGGCGAAUCCCUUUACCAACCUGAAGAUUUCCCUUCAACGCUGCUGCCACUUGUUUAUGCAGGUGCA